AGCCGGGAGUGGCGGCCCGGCAGGAGGGGAGGCGGGGGCGGCGGGCGGUGGUAGAGGGAAGGCGACGGCCCCGGGGGGCGGCGGGCGGUGGUGGAGGGAAGGCGACGGCCCGGCGGCGGCGAACGGGAGCGGAAGCAAAACUCUUGUGUUCAUGUGUGUUCUUUUGUUCAUCUUUUGUGUUCAUGUUGUGUUCUUGAAGUGAAAGUGAAAUUGCUUG
This 217-nucleotide small RNA is filed under the name Oryza sativa Japonica Group (Japanese rice). RNAcentral describes it as "sRNA Os09g0344650". Lineage: Eukaryota; Viridiplantae; Streptophyta; Magnoliopsida; Poales; Poaceae. The record is from RNAcentral.